CCCGCUGAACUUAAGCAUAUCAAUAAGCGGAGGAAAAGAAACUAACAAGGAUUCCCCUAGUAACUGCGAGUGAAGCGGGAAGAGCUCAAAUUUAAAAUCUGGCGUGCCUCUGGUCGUCCGAGUUGUAGUCUAAAGAAGCGUUUUCCGUGUUGGACCGUGUACAAGUCCCUUGGAACAGGGCAUCAUAGAGGGUGAGAAUCCCGUCUCUGACACGGACUGCCAAUGCUUUGUGAUGCGCUCUCAAAGAGUCGAGUUGUUUGGGAAUGCAGCUCAAAAUGGGUGGUAAAUUCCAUCUAAAGCUAAAUAUAGGCGAGAGACCGAUAGCGAACAAGUACCGUGAGGGAAAGAUGAAAAGAACUUUGGAAAGAGAGUUAAACAGUAUGUGAAAUUGCUGAAAGGGAAACGCUUGAUGUCAGUCACGUUGGCUAGGGAUCAACCUUGCUUCUCGCUGGGUGUAUUUCCUAGUGGACGGGUCAGCAUCAGUUUCGGUCGCUGUACAAGGGCAAAGGGAACGUGGCACUCCUCGGAGUGUGUUAUAGCCUUUCGUCGUAUGCAGUGGUUGGGACUGAGGAACUCGGCACGAAAUCUAUUUUGUGCUUAGGAUGCUGGCAUAAUGGCCUUAAGCGACCCGUCUUGAAACACGG
RNAcentral lists this ribosomal RNA (644 nucleotides) under uncultured fungus. RNAcentral describes it as "eukaryotic LSU rRNA". It matches the Rfam family "Eukaryotic large subunit ribosomal RNA", at positions 24 to 664 of the family's 3401-position model. Lineage: Eukaryota; Fungi. The record is from RNAcentral.